CAGUAGCCACGGGAAUACGAAGGGGGCUGGCGUUGCUCGGAAUGACUGGGCGUAAAGGGCGCGUAGGCGGUUUGCACAGUCAGAUGUGAAAUUCCUGGGCUUAACCUGGGGGCUGCAUUUGAUACGUGCGGACUUGAGUGUGAAAGAGGGUCGUGGAAUUCCCAGUGUAGAGGUGAAAUUCGUAGAUAUUGGGAAGAACACCGGUGGCGAAGGCGGCGACCUGGUCCGGGACUGACGCUGAGGCGCGAAAGCGUGGGGAGCAAACAGGAUUAGAUACCCCAGUAGUCCCUGUCUCUUAUAC
RNAcentral lists this ribosomal RNA (301 nucleotides) under uncultured bacterium. Its description in RNAcentral is "partial 16S ribosomal RNA". It matches the Rfam family "Bacterial small subunit ribosomal RNA", at positions 509 to 807 of the family's 1533-position model. The record is from RNAcentral.